Molecule: ribosomal RNA, 406 nt
Filed under: uncultured bacterium
Lineage: Bacteria
Description: bacterial SSU rRNA
Rfam family: Bacterial small subunit ribosomal RNA
Source: RNAcentral
AUUGAACGCUGGCGGCGUGCUUAACACAUGCAAGUCGUGCGGUAACAGGCGUAGCAAUACGUGCUGACGAGCGGCGAACGGGUGCGUAAUACAUGGGAAUCUGCCCUUUAGUGGGGAAUAACCCGGCGAAAGCCGGGCUAAUGCCGCAUAAGAUCUUCGGAUGAAAGCGGGGGAUCGUAAGACCUCGCGCUGAUGGAUGAGCCCAUGUCGGAUUAGCAGUUGGUGAGGUAAAGGCUCACCAAGGCGACGAUCCGUAGCUGGUCUGAGAGGACGGCCAGCCACACUGGGACUGAGACACGGCCCAGACUCCUACGGGAGGCAGCAGUGGGAAUAUUGGACAAUGGGGAAACCCUGAUCCAGCGACGCCGCGUGUGUGAAGAAGGCCUGCGGGUUGUAAAGCACUUUC